Molecule: ribosomal RNA, 557 nt
Filed under: uncultured bacterium
Lineage: Bacteria
Description: bacterial SSU rRNA
Rfam family: Bacterial small subunit ribosomal RNA
Source: RNAcentral
CCUACGGGAGGCAGCAGUGGGGAAUUUUGGACAAUGGGGGCAACCCUGAUCCAGCCAUUCCGCGUGAGUGAAGAAGGCCUUCGGGUUGUAAAGCUCUUUCAGCUGGAACGAAACGGUACGGGCUAAUACCCUGUGCUAAUGACGGUACCAGCAGAAGAAGCACCGGCUAACUACGUGCCAGCAGCCGCGGUAAUACGUAGGGUGCGAGCGUUAAUCGGAAUUACUGGGCGUAAAGCGUGCGCAGGCGGAUUGUUAAGCAAGAUGUGAAAUCCCCGGGCUUAACCUGGGAAUGGCAUUUUGAACUGGCAGUCUAGAGUGCGUCAGAGGGGGGUGGAAUUCCACGUGUAGCAGUGAAAUGCGUAGAGAUGUGGAGGAACACCAAUGGCGAAGGCAGCCCCCUGGGAUGACACUGACGCUCAUGUACGAAAGCGUGGGUAGCAAACAGGAUUAGAUACCCUGGUAGUCCACGCCCUAAACGAUGUCAACUGGUUGUUGGGGGAGUGAAAUCCCCUUAGUAACGAAGCUAACGCGUGAAGUUGACCGCCUGGGGAGUACGG